Astyanax mexicanus (Mexican tetra) is the source of this 2092-nucleotide long non-coding RNA. RefSeq lists it as uncharacterized. The record is from RefSeq and is a predicted model, not a curated record. Lineage: Eukaryota; Metazoa; Chordata; Actinopteri; Characiformes; Acestrorhamphidae. The transcript is spliced from 8 exons.
CUGUGGUUAGUUAGACCUUGAAAGUGAGGGAGGUUGACCCGUCCCCUUAGACCAAAGAUAAGGAGGGAACUUCUACUGAAUUUAUGUUGCCAGAGCCAGGCGGGAGGACAAUAGAUUUAUUAUACCGAAGACGUAGGUGGCAGGCAGGCACGGGGUCAUAUCACGAUAGGAUACAGUUUAUGGGACCAAAGGGGGCUGGUCAACCUUCUUCACUCACACCAUAGUGGGAUGAUCUAUAUAAUCUUGUGUAUGUCUUUUUGUGUUUGAACAUUCUCCUUGACUCUCUGAGCGGAGCAUUGUUCCCGGAAGAUCUUCUGAAAUAAACUGUUUAAUUUGCUGCAAACUUGGUAUCCUGACUCCUCUUGACUUCUCUACUCAUCUCAACCAUUCAAAAGAACUCAGAGGGAAACGCACUGGAAACGGCGCUGUAAGGGGUAGUGCGGCCUUUCCUCAACAAUUUGGAGGCACCGCUGGGAUGGUGAGAUUUGGGCCAGAGAGGUUGAUUCGGACCGCGGAGAAAACUGACUGAACCACAAGUCCUGGACGUCCUUCAAUAAAAGUGAGUUUUACAAGCAUGAACAUGAACGUCUUCUUAAAGACGCUGCUGCAGUCUCAGCAGAAAAUAUGAGACCUGAUUUUCAAUGUUGGAACAGCUUUAGUAUAAAAGCUGGUGGUCGCUAUGGACAGUACCAGUUUAGAAACACAUGUGUUCUUGACUCACUCCUUGUUGGACUUCACAUUUGUCACAACAAACAUCCAAAAUGUCGAGAACUUAUUCAAAUGGAUGCUACACUUAAUGCAAUUAUGAUAUUUUUAGAUGCAAAAAAGUAUAAUGAGGCCAGAUAUCUUUGGUUGAUUUACUUAAAUCUAUUGAAUCCAAGUUGUAGAUUCAAAAUAUCUGAAAGAAUUGAUUUUAGGAGUGAGGUCAAGGACCAUUUACCAGUGUUUAGAGACCUGGUAUGUUCUAAAGAGCAUUUUAGUGGAGAUGAAACUCCACUUCAUGGAUUGGAUGAUAUUCUUCAUCAAAGCACCAAAAGAGCUUUUGAACCCUAUGGAAAUGUUAUGCCUUUGGGGAUGAAUUAUAAAGUCCCCAGUGUUAUACUGCUGUUCAAAGAGGAUGGACUGCAUACAGCCCCCCCCAAUUUAUGUCACUGAUAUGUAUGAAAGGACCUUUACACUGCAGUUUCUGCUUGUGUGGAAGAAGCAAGUGUAUGAAAAACACAUGGUUGUGUGCUGUAACAUGGAAUAUAGAUGGGUCCUGUAUGAUAAUCACCCUGAUGUACUUCCUAAAGACUUUAACUACGACUUAGAAGAUUUUAAGAAUGAUUACCCUGUAUACCUUGCUUGUUAUGUCAACAUCACACAACCUGGUCACAGCAAUGUGACUGACGUUCCAGUGGCUGAAGGAGGAGUUGGAACAUCAGUAUGGGCCUGGGAGCCAGUGUAAAAAAACACCAGACACCAGAGAGGUGACAUUCCACGUCCCAAGAGCCAGCUUCUGCAGCCGAGGAUAAGACCGCCAAAUCACACCGAUGGUGAGCCCAUGGGAAGGGGGCCCCUGUCUCCUCUUCAGGCCUGCAUCCGGGCAAGGGAACCACACUCUGCUAAUGUUUACAUUCUCUGAUCUACAUUAGACCAAUCAGUACUCAUUCUUGUAUCUCUUUACCUUUCUCCGAGAUAAUGGCUGCCCACCUAUCUGGCCUGGCAGUGAUGGAUGGUCAACCCUCACCUAUUCCUGUUACCCACAACCGACCUGCUCAUCUGUCCAGCCGACACUGAUGAAAGUUGGACCAUCAGGCGUUACUGUCACCCAAUACAGAUCAGCUGCCCACAGUGACUUUUUAUUAAUAAUGUAUAAGUAGUCUGACCAGUGGUAGGAUGGUACCCCCCUUUAUAUAGGAGCCUAGGUUCCUCCCAAGGUUUCUUCCUCCUCCAGCUCUGAGGAAGUUUUUCCUUGCCUCCGUUGCUCACUGGGGGGUUUUAUGUUUUUGUGUGUCGUUUAAUCCAUUAUUAUGCUGCACAUUUUAUGUAAAUCUGCUUUAUGGCAUCAGUUGUAAAAAAGCACUAUACAAAUAAAAUUAUUUAUACACCA